Molecule: long non-coding RNA, 1763 nt
Organism: Apis mellifera (honey bee)
Lineage: Eukaryota; Metazoa; Arthropoda; Insecta; Hymenoptera; Apidae
Exons: 2
Source: RefSeq, a predicted model, not a curated record
CCAUACGAUAUUCUGCGUGAACUCGAUUUCGACUCAAGACAAGAUGAAGAAUUGUAGUCGAAUGAAAAUUUUAACCGGCGAACACCUUUUUCCUCAUCUUGUAAUAGAGGAAUGUGUUCGACCGUGAGAAGUGUACUGUAAAGCGCGAGUGCAAUUUCAAUUAACGAAAGGUUUUCAUUUUUCAUUCGUGAAACCUAAAGCAGAGAAGAGAAAUUGUUCCUGUGAAUGGAAGAAGAGAACGAAAGUUUGCCUCGUCUUUCUUUUCUUCGAUUCAAUGAGAUUUAAAAAAAACGUGAUUUCUUUCCAAUUGCUAUUACAACAGCAAUUUACAAUAUCAAAAUUUAACGAACACUGACUCUGUUUUAUACACGUUAAAAAAUUUUUUCCUUUUCCUUUUCUUGUCCAAUUAUCAUUUAAUAGAGGAAAUUGUAUCUCGAUAUAAUAAAUCGUCAACCAACGAUUCAUUUUUUUCACGCGACACGUUAGAAUAGUGAUCGAUCCCCAAAUUCGGGAAGCAAACGUCUCCUCUUUUUUAUACGCACGGGUAUAAAGUAGUCACAGCGAAAUGGCGAUUCGUUGGGCAAUCGUGUUUCGAUCGUAUUACAACACCCUACAAUGGCACCGUGUAAUUUCACUCUCGCCAGGAGAUCGCAAUUGCACAAUUUUCGUCGCGCCAGACGAGACAUUCGGGCGGACCUAGAAAGCGUCUAGGAAAUGCUAAUUCGCCAACAAUCGCUGCUCUUACGUUUACGAAUACGAUCCGCGAUUAAUCGCGAAUCUGUCGACAUCGACACGCGGACAAAUCUCUCACAAGUUUCCAAAUUUUUUACGAAUUCGAAAUUUGCACGAGUCGGAGGAAAUUUUUGAGAAUUAGAAACCUAAUCCUUUUCUUAAAUGUUAAUUCGAAAAAUUGUGAAAAUAAUUUUCAUCUUGUUUAUUCUACGAUUCUCAUUCUAUUAAAAUAUUUAUACAGGAACAAGCGAAUAUGGAAUAUUGGAAUUUUUCUUAUUUCUCGAAAUUUGAUCGAAUUAAGAAAAGGAGAGAGGAGAGCAACACGGUUGGAAUCGGUGUAAUAGCUUCGGAAAGAUUGGAAGGAAAGAAUUCGAAACUUUUACAAUAAUUUUCAAACAGGAUGGUGAAACGCAACAAGGCAAAAUGAAGUGGCUGCGAGGCACUGGUGUAUCCGAGAAAACAAAAGACAGAGUUUUGUCUGACGUCGAGAUUUUAUUUCCAUCGAGAAGAAAUAUCCAUUAAACCAAAGAGAACACGAUCUCGUUAGGUGGUUAACUGACCCGAUAACGGUUCCCGGAGAGAGAGAAACGGUUAUCGACACGCCAGACCCAGAGAAAACGGAAAGAUAAAACGUGAAAAAAGACGUGAGAGUAAAAAAGUGAAAAGGAGCGAAGAAGGAUGAAAGGCAGGCAGUGUGGUGCGAGGAGGGGGGAGGGAACAGAGGACAAAACUUCUAUUCUAUUCAUUUUCAUCCGGAUAAAUACCGAAUAAUCGCACGCUUUCGUUUCGAAUUAUAACGUUUUUUCGCGAAACUCGUCGACGAAACUAAUUUCGUUGUUUUUUUCAUACAGACACCCGUUUGUAUUAUCACGCUUCCACUUCUGGUGGAAAGUGGUAAUGCAAAUGAAAAGUGUUCCGUUUCUUCCUGUUGCGCGCACGUUUCGCGGACGGAUAAAGCCGGAUGCUUUCUUUGCAAACUUUAUGCAAAUUAUCGCCUCGAAUAAAAAUCUCGAAAAACCUCUUUGUUGUUA